AAGCCGUCAAUAGCAUGACGCCAUUUUGAACUUGUGCUUCAUCACGCGCGAGUACGUUGUCGUUGAGUGGUACUGAAAUCGCUGCGUUAAGGGCGACUGCAACCAAGCGUUGUGGCAAGUUACGGUGGGAGCUUCUUUCCGUGCUGUGCGAUUGCGACGAGGGGACCGCCGCGAGCAGCAGCGUAUCGCCGAUUUCGUCUUUGCCGACAUCGCCGGACCGUCACAAGCGCCCAAGUGCUGCGGUUUGCACUGCAUCUUUCAUUGUGAUAUGGGAGAUCGCAACGGACAGAGACGACCAGAUGCAUACGACCGACUACCAGCGGGGGGUGACCUGUGCCAUAUUUCUCUUAACGUCUCAGGUAUUCAAGAAAUGGCAACAGCCAGAAGUCACCAUCUUACCAGCACGUUAUGGGUACACUCUGGCGGCUCCUACCCCUGUGUCCUCCCACCACCCUGUCCUGACUACGUCCACUAGGUAGUUGGGAGCCUUUGGUGGCUUCUGCCACUGCAUCCUGCCGCCACCAUGUCCCGACUAUGUCCACUAGGGAGUUGGCAGCCUUAGUGAUGAUGCCAGCAGGCUGACAGCCGACAGAAAGAUUCAGGUUGCCUCGAAAUUUUACCCAAGCCAUGCCGCACACUCGGGCCAGGCCUCUUGCGAACGACGUAUAACCAGGCUCAACGCAUCAGGGUCGAGGGAGUCCGGAGAUCAAGGCAACCUGCUGUGCAACCUUUGGUGACCCCUCUACAUGUGCUACCUAUUUCACAGCUGUGCCUCACCUACCAUCUAUCCAAACAGCAUCACCGGCUGUGAUCACUUAUCGAACCAUGGAUGAAUGUUGGGGUGGAGUGAUUUGAACAGACAUUCUAUUUGUCUCUUCAAAUUCUUUGUAAAUAUUUCUGUUAUAAUUCAUAUGUGUCUUUAGUAUCUAGUUUUUAAUAGUUCCUUUCUCUUAGAAUUCUCACCAUCAGCCCCUGCUAUUCUAAUGUAUACCUGCCUUUAAGCCCCGUUUCUCAUAGUUCUUUCGUACUUGUGGAUGUAAUUGAUAGGUUAAUAAUUCUUGUUGUAUGGAAGGCUAAAAUACGAACUUACGGCAUUUUUUCUUCCUGUGAUAAUCUACAGCACUGCAAUGUGUUCAAGAAAUGUAACAUAACACGGGCUCUGGUGUAGGAUAAAUUUAAGAGCAAUAUAGAGUACUUAUUUCAAGCACCCAUUAUUUUUUAAAAACUCAAGGAUAUAGGAGCACAAGAAAGAAACUAUUGAACUAGAGAAACAUUGGUUCCCCUCAUAAGUCUGGUAAUAACGUGACUUCUUUCACUGCAAAGAUACUGGUACUCGCAUACAAGGCUUGAGACAUGAAAGCUAUGAUACCCUUGGCAUUUCUCAGUGCUUAUUUGCCACACUGAUGAAUGUCAAAGGCAGCAUAGGUUUCAUGCACACAUUGGUUGUAUUACACCUUUUGAGUAUUGCAUUUCUCAAACACACGGGUUUGUAGCAGUGCUUUAAAUAGCAGAUGUAUUUCCUAAUUUUCAGAAUUUGUUAGUGCAAGAGUAACGCUACAGAUCAUGUAAAAAUAAUUUUACAGACUAUAUGUCCAUGGAUGCAUGUUUCUUCUGAUGACGUAGCAGUGCCAUGUGGUCGGGGGAUGAAUGUCUAUUUCAGAUUUAAAUAUUGGCUUCCAGGCCUGGGUUAGUCUCCUACACUGAGUAUUCCAGGUCAAAGCCCAGUUACUAGAGGAAAGUGAAUAAAACUAGGAAUUAUAAACAUCAGAAGAUCUUGUUCGGGACACUAAUGUAACAAUCAGCAAGGUUCUUUGUGCAUUCAUUUCCAGAUUUGCGAGAUUAUAUUUUGACUGGUUUCAUUAAUGCGAGAACAAAUAUUUGUUUAUUCUCAUGCUAGAGUUGGCUGCCCCCAUUCGUAUACAACCCCUUUACAGGCUAAAAAUUAAGUGUAUAAUAGGCUGGUUUUCGGUUUUGCGCCCUCAGUGUUAAGGGAUGCAAACGGUGACAUACAACAGAAUGCAGAAAAAUGUCUAAGGAAUGCAAGCAGGGCAUGGGACUUUUUAGACAGAUGCAUGCGUGUGCUAUUUAUAAAACUCCCUAUGGUAUGCCUCAAGGCAUUUUGUAACCCUUUGGUAGAAACACUGACACCCACCUAUUAAGGGGAAAUGCUCCUCGAAACAACUUUUUUAAUUUGUACUAGAAAUUUGAAUGUACUGCUAUUCAUAGGGAGUUUUAUGUAGAUUUGAAUUGUCAUUGGUUUUUGUGUAGCUGGUGUUUAGUUAUGUCCUACAUAGUGGCAAUAUAUUUUUAUGGGCACUUGUAUGUAAAAGUUUCGCAAAUGGUUUCAUGCUGUAUCUUAUUUAGCUAGGUGUAUACCGCAAAGUGGCGAUACCUAUCCAAACAGCUUGUACAAUUACUGGAAUUAUGCAAAAAAUAUUAGGCCACUUUAAAUAAUUUUUAGAUUGCAAUUUCAAUUAGAUACUGGUAUUCUGCUUAUCUUGAAGAGUAUGUAUGCCAAAUUUAAUUUGUAUAGGACAAUUAUAAAGCACAAGGUUAUUCUCAUGCUAUUGUGAGAAAAAAUUAUUGAAGUAUUCUCAAUAAUUUUAGUAGCAGGCCUGCCUGCCUGCCUACUAAUCUUGCAUACUUCUAGUAACUUUACGUGCUGUUUGAAUAGAUAUCGGCACCUUGCAGUCUACAGGGAGCUGAGUUAGCUGCAGCACACUGCUUUUUUGUGAAAAUUUAAUACACAAGAAAGUGCCCGCAAAUAUCACUAUGUAUUUUGCCGUUGUAUAGGACAUAACUCAAGAAGCAGCUAAACAAAAACUAAUGGAAUAUAUGAAAUCUGCAUGAAGAACUCUACAAUUGGCUCUCUUUUGAAACCUCUAGUACAAAUAAUAAAAAUAUUUCGAGUAAUAUUCAAUCAGCAAAACGUUCCCCUUGCUACAGUGACCUACAACAUAGCGACGCAAAGCUUAAGGCAAGUCCUCUUGUCGAAGCGAAUAUGGGCUGUCUUCCCAAGGGCUUCUGUUAAAGACGGUGAAUUUUCCUGCAUUUACCAGAAGUGCAAUACUAAAAUGUUUGUGAAUGUGCAAUUGGUAUUGGCACACUAACAGAAAAAAAGACAGUUCUGUGAAAUGUAGACUUGAGACGUGACUUUGUUGGACAUUUAAAUUUUGACUCCAUAUAUUUGUGUUUUGUACUGAGUGUUUCAACGGUGACUGCCUCUAAUUAUUGAACAUAACUGCUUCAUGACAGUGCGACAAUUUUCCCUAACAUAAAUUUUAGCUGUGGCAGGCAUUAGAAUUACAGUACUCAAUAACGUCUACUUUGUAAGAACUCAGACUAGCACCAGUUCUGAUAUACAUAUACCCAAAAAGUAAUGAUCAUCCUACAAGGCUUACAGAAGGCUUUUUGGCAAAGUAAUAUCCGAAAGAGCAAAGCAUGUUCCACCAAGUAUGGUGACAAAUAUUUUAGAGCUGCCAGUCUGAGGACUCCUACAAACUAACAAUACCUUCAGCACUGACUAGCUUCAAUAAUGGGAUGUCAGUGUUUUGCUAAAAUUAAUGAAACUUCAAUUAUUGUGAUCUUGUUUAAGAAGACAUUUGUAAUUAACAUGCAGUUCUAAUCUCUGUCACUUUUGUAAAUAUUUCCCAAUUAUUUUUUCAGGCUACCAUUUUUGGUAAUAAUGGUAUUCAUUGCAGAAAGAGCUAGUACAUGGCAUUUAAUAAAGAAGGUACUGGUCAUUGUAGAUUUUCUGUCUUCAGCAUUUGUUCUGUUCCACAGCUGUUUCUUGAAAUCUGAAAUGAUGUACCCAUCACUUUGUUAGCGAUAAACAGGGAAAUCUGUCAGUAUGUUUUGUUUAAAAUGGAGCUGAUCAACCCAAUAGUUAGGCUAUUUGCUAAUUAUAAAUUACAAUGAUAAUAGUACAGGACAUAAAAACAGACUGAUGCUGAAUAACAGCUGUGCCCAGCUACAUACACGCAGCUUUGCCACACAAUGUGUAUGUGUUCAGAAGAGCCAAAUGCCCCAGAGAGAAAGCAACAGUAACUAAUUGUUCGUCAUCUUGUACAAGCAGAUUAUGCGCUAGAUGUAAAUUAUGCUCAGUAAAUACAUAAGUCAGUCAUGUGAGGUGUCUCACUUUAGGUUGCAAGUUGGAACUUAUUGCAAUCUUGGUUCUUUUUAUUUUGUUUCCUUUGUGAGCAUGAGUGACUUAGUUGCCUUGGCACAUUUUGUCAAAACUGUUUCUUCAUCACUGGGAAUCACAAAAUUUCAAUUACACAUAAAAUUUCCAGUUACUGAUAUGGUAGACUUCGAAGUUAAUUCUCUUAUCUACCAAGUAGUUUUAUCAUUCAUUGAAACAUAUCCAUGCAAUGCACAAUAGGAACCCAAAUUAUAAAUAUCUGUUCUUGCUUUCUACCCUGCUCUACAACAUUAUGAAGAUACAAAGCAAAACUAUAAGUUUACAAUUGUCCCCCAUAACCUGAGUUUCGCUUAGAAUUUGAAAAACAAAAUUGACAUCCUGCUAUAGUGUGAGAGUUGCUUUGAGCACCAAGUGAACUGCGUAGCACCUGUGCUAGAGUACACAACAAAGCAGAAAAUCGCACCAGAUUGGAAUGGCAGUGGUAAGUUAAGAACAGAUGUUUUAUUUCACGCACCAUUAAUGUGGCUUAUCAUCUGCUCCUGUUUUGUGGGAACGCAUACAUUGGGAAGACAAUUUUUUGCACCAAUCUUACCUUAGCGGGACACUUGAGAAAGGUAGAAAUCAAGAACAGGUAUUCACACUUUGUUGCCCGCAGUGUAUUAUCUGAAUGUGUUUCACUCUACAAAAGACUACUGUGGUAGAUAAUCAUAAAGACCAAGACAAAAGAAUUAAAAGAAGUAUGUGUCAGUCAUCCUUCCAUGAUCUCCCAUGUUUAUAGAAACACUUCUUUCUGCAUAUGUGCGAAGCCGUAGGGAAGCAUUACAUAACUCAGUCAUGCUUUCCAAGUUAAAAAUCUGAAUAAGGACAAUCACAAGAACAUUGUAUGAGUGAUUUGUAAAUGUGGCACCUAAUGGAACUUAUUUACGUAUGUGCUGAGGGUACAUUACAGCCAGUGCAUAAUCUGUCUGCUCUUACAGGAUAGCUUGUGAUGAGUAAAAGAAGCCUUCCUCACAUCUUCCUCUUUGUUUCUUUUGGACCUUGGUGCACCAUGUGUAUUGUUACAGCUGCAUGCAUGCAGCUGGGUAUAGUUUAUGUGUUCUGCUACCUCCCUUGUCCUCAUUACUCAUGUGCUAUCUUUGCCGUAACAAAAUACAGCUACCUGUGCUACAUAUUUUGUCAGCGUGUUUGCAUUAUGGCAAGUUUUGUAUUAGUGGUUAUUGCAAUCUGCGAAAUUGUCUGUCAGCUGUUAUACUUCGUCUUGAAAAGUACGUUUGUCAACAUAAAUAAACAAUUAGUAUAAAUUUUGCUCUAUUUAUUUUUGUAAUAUUAUCUGUUGUGAAGCUUUUAUACACUGUUGCAUGUUGUAUGACAAUAAAAUUGAUGCACAACUUU
Long non-coding RNA from Dermacentor albipictus, 5533 nucleotides. RefSeq lists it as uncharacterized. The record is from RefSeq and is a predicted model, not a curated record. NCBI's taxonomy places the organism in Eukaryota, Metazoa, Arthropoda, Arachnida, Ixodida, Ixodidae.